CAGUUGCCUGGUACAUCCAGAUCCGAUUUGGUGGUUCUCGAAACCUGCCGCCGCCACGGUUGGCUGCCCCAAUUUCCCCGGAGCUGCUGAAGGCUGCGGUUGUUCUGGCGUGCCGGCGAUGGAAGAUGUUGCCCACAUCUAGAUCUGGUUCCUCUCGCUGUGCUCUCGCAGCAGGAUGGCACCAGUGCUGUGCUGGUUGACACGAAUACUGGGUCCGGGUCGGGCAGCAUGUCGGCGGCGGUAGUCGAGGUAGGCCGCAGGGUGACGGCGCCGUCGGCGGCAAGCUUCUCGGACAAGGUCCACGCAGUCUAUGAACCGAGUCAAUCCUAAGGCGCCGGGCUGGACCAAAAGGGGAAGCCAGAAGCCGAGAGCAGCAGGUCAUGCAGAUGCGAGUGCCCUGCUUUGAUAUGGCUCUUUCGGGCUUCUAAUAGUUUGUAUGUAACAGAGCACCAUGUAAACCACAACCAUUCCAUGUCUCACCAUGGGCCAAGGGAAAACAAUGUAAACCUUGGGAAGGUGUACAACAUUAUUGGAAGCGUCUUCAGCUCGGUUGAGAAGGUGUUGUUCACAAAGAGGGCGCUCAUGAACAUAUGGUGUAAGAUAAGCCGAGAGCGAGCUGAUGAUGAUGUUAGAAAGACGUUGGAAGUGUUCGCAGACAUUGUUGCAGGGGACCCAGACUUUACAUAUUCUUGCUGAUAGUGAUAGCAGGGUGAAAACUUUGAUGUGGACAAAUGGGAGCAGCCGAAUGCAAUACCGAUUCUUUGGUCAUGUGGACAUGUGGUUACAUUCGACACGACGUACUUGGCAAAUCUAUAUGACAUUGCUGUUUGGGCUUUUGUGGGAGUGAAUAACCAUUUCCAAAGCAUCAUCCUCACUGGCGUGCUGAUGUGGGAUGAGCAAGUAGAGAGUUUCAAGUGGGUUUUCGGUGAGUUUCUCCAUAUGAUGGGAGGACCGGCACCUAAAACCAUCCUGACAGUAAAGUUUAUCCAAAUAGCAUGCACUGUUAGUGCAAAUGGCACGCACCAAAGAAAGCAAAGGAGAGCCUAGUGCCACUCUACACAAAGAAGUGUGAGUUCCAAGCUGAGUUCUAUAAAGGCGUGAACCACAUGUUGACUACGGAUGAGUUUGAGACAGCGGGGGGUAUGCUGCUUGACAAGUACAACGUGAGGAAGAAUGACCCAGAUAUAUGAAACAAGAUCAAAGUGGGCGAAGCCAUACUUCAAAGGUGUUUUCUGCACCAAAAUGACAAGUACGCAAAGAAGCGAGAGUGCGAACAAGAUGCUGAAGUCCUAUAUGCCCCCAGCGAGCCUGAUGCACGUCUUUGUUAGGCAAUACAUGAGGCUCCAGUUUGACCACGAGAGGGAGGAAAGCUACGAGAAGAAAAAGAGAAUGCUUGGUGGUACUCCAAACUAAUGGGAUACAUAAUUGACUGGCUGAAGAAGGCAAGGAUAAUGGGAACGGGCAGAACCAUCGCACUAACUGAUAUGCUUCGUCUGGGCUGCAGUUUAAUGUGUAGUUGUUGCGCAUUGCAGUUCAUGUUCCGGGUGCUACUCAUAGAUUGCUGGUCCCCGUACAUCUUGACAUAGAGAAGAAGGAAUUUAUGGUGCUCAAUCCAACUGAGACUGAUCCAGCAGAUGAGAUGAACAGGAAGCACAAGGCUUUGGCAAGGAAAUUCCAGCUCAGAUUAUGCCACCGUUUUAAUGACAUGUUUGGUGCUGGCUUGGUCGAGACUAUUGGGUGGACCUUUAUGUACCUCUUAGUGGGGCAGCAUGAACCAUGUACAAGGGAGGAAAGUGACGUCUACAUCCUGGGGUUCACCGGGCUUUAGCUUCGUUCAGCGCUUAGCUCGGAGCAGCUAGAUCACCUUCGGCAGAGAAUUGCAUGCGAGAUUGUGAUCAUGAUGGGAAUAAGGGAGAUCUCCCAGAUUUCCUGUGCGAGGAGAUCAUUGACUGAAGGGAAUGAAUUGUGGUUCAACAUUCAUGCUGGCUGUUCAGAUCUUUGGUCCAUGCGACACGAGUGCUAUGUCCGUGGAAGUGCCCCUCUUAUGUUUCAGGGGCUUUUGGAGCACCCCAACCCUCAGCAGAACCUGAAAUCCAAUGAAACUUAUUUGAAUUUGUACUUUUUUAAGACCUAAGUAGAGUUGGUAGAACCACUUGUGUGGAGUGUUGUGAGAUGCCACAUCAUUUAAGCAUCAGCGCCUAUAUUUGUAAAGCCACUUGAAAUUUCAUGGAAUUUACUUCCAUUAGUUGUUGAAAACCCCAAGCAGAUAACUGUAUUUCUAAAGCUCAAGCAGAGUACUUGGAACUAAA
This is a long non-coding RNA of Triticum dicoccoides, 2309 nucleotides long. RefSeq lists it as uncharacterized. Lineage: Eukaryota; Viridiplantae; Streptophyta; Magnoliopsida; Poales; Poaceae. The record is from RefSeq and is a predicted model, not a curated record. The transcript is spliced from 6 exons.